GUGACUUGACUUUAUUUAAUGAGAUUUUUUUUUUCAAUUUUUCCAGAAUGAAUAAGAUUAUAGUUUUAGAUGAUCACCUAAUUGUGUUGACACGUCAGUAAGUAUUAGUAAUAUCCAACUCAAAAAAUUUGGGUGCCGUCCCACAUCGCCACCGCGCCACGUGUAAACCUUAUAAUGAAUCAAAAGAUAAACGUUAAUAAAACUCAUCACAAAAUUUAGGCGACGCUGCAACUUUGUAAGGAAACCCGCCACCCCCCCUACGUGAAUGUAAUAUAUAACAACACGUUUACAACGACCAUAUCGUCUACAGAGAACACAGGGUAACAUAACAACCCAAAUAAUCACAUAACCACCAAAUCAAAUUUAGACACGUAUGUACGACGGGGUUGAUUGUCGGUGACCAUCAUGUAAAGCUGUAAAGGCAGUUGCUUUUUGUAAAAGCCUCGGGCUUUUUUAUUGUUAUUAUUUCUCUCUCUCUCUCUCGUCAAAACUCAAAACCGAACCACAACGUUGAAAUGAAUGUACAAAGCAAUAAUAAUAAUAAUAAUUUAAAAAAAAAAAGGAGGCGGUGGGCGGGGGGGGGGGGCUAAAGCUCACACGCCAAGUAAGUAAGAAAGAAAGAGAAGAGUGAAGAGAUAAAAGGUAACGUCACUCAAGUUGAUUGGACAGUGCUGUGCAGGCCGGCAGCGAUUAGCCAGUAGGGAGGAAGCAUAGCAGACUUUUGGUCUACGGCCACAGCCCCUCUUUUGGUGCGUCAAGGGGGUACCCCACUGCCUUUCUUGGGUUCUUAACCCUUCUUUUAGUUUCAGCCUUUCAGGGUUUGGUGACCUACUGUAUAUGUAUAGUUUUGGACAUUGCUCUCAAAUUUUUUAAUACCAAUUCGGUUCUAUUUUUGUUGAUUUUUGAUACAUUAUUACUGUAUAAGUUUUGUAUCUCUUGUGGACGUUUUCGUUCUCGACUUUUUAGGAUCCGUUUAGAAUUGUUUCUAGCAGGUUCAAAAGUAUUUUAAAAAAAUUAUUUUUGACUAAAUUAUUUCAUCCUACCACAUAUUUAAAAAUUAAAGGAGGUGUACCUCUUUAAAAUCUGAUUUUAGAAAUUAUUUGUAGACUUAAUACAAUUCCAUAUAGACACAUUAUCCUUAC
This 1142-nucleotide long non-coding RNA is filed under the name Citrus maxima (pomelo). RNAcentral's name for it is "long non-coding RNA (CMAX_LNC002590)". The record is from RNAcentral. Lineage: Eukaryota; Viridiplantae; Streptophyta; Magnoliopsida; Sapindales; Rutaceae.